Molecule: ribosomal RNA, 600 nt
Filed under: uncultured bacterium
Lineage: Bacteria
Description: bacterial SSU rRNA
Rfam family: Bacterial small subunit ribosomal RNA
Source: RNAcentral
AGUACGAUCGCAAGAUUAAAACUCAAAGGAAUUGACGGGGCCCCGCACAAGCAGCGGAGCAUGCGGCUUAAUUCGACGCAACGCGAAGAACCUUACCAAGGCUUGACAUAUAGGGAAAAGUGGCAGAGAUGUCAUGUCCGCAAGGGCUCUAUACAGGUGGUGCAUGGUUGUCGUCAGCUCGUGUCGUGAGAUGUUGGGUUAAGUCCCGCAACGAGCGCAACCCUCGUUCUGUGUUGCCAGCAUUUAGUUGGGGACUCACAGGAGACUGCCGGGGUUAACUCGGAGGAAGGUGGGGAUGACGUCAAAUCAUCAUGCCCCUUAUGUCUUGGGCUGCACGCAUGCUACAAUGGCCGGUACAGAGGGCUGCAAUACCGUAAGGUGGAGCGAAUCCCAAAAAGCCGGUCUCAGUUCGGAUUGAGGUCUGCAACUCGACCUCAUGAAGUUGGAGUUGCUAGUAAUCGUAGAUCAGCAACGCUACGGUGAAUACGUUCCCGGGGCUUGUACACACCGCCCGUCACGUCACGAAAGUCGGUAACACCCAAAGUCAGUGGCCCAACCGCAAGGGGGGAGCUGCCUAAGGUGGGAUCGGUGAUUGGGACG